CUGAACAAAAAGUAAAUACAAACCGCGGCUUUUGAUAAAGCUAAUCGAGCUUUAUACAAAAGGGUCUACGCGUUGUCCGCGUUUAUUUUGAGAUUGAAGAAGAUUUUCUGAAUUCCUGAUUGACGAACACGGAACGAGUUUUUUUAGUUCUCAGAAUCUCUGCAAGUUGUACGUGCUGACUUUGUGAUGUGAAGAUCUUAUAUAAAAGACAACAGCGUUGAUAUCAAGUUCAUUUAAACGAGAG
This is a long non-coding RNA of Colias croceus (clouded yellow), 244 nucleotides long. RefSeq lists it as uncharacterized. The record is from RefSeq and is a predicted model, not a curated record. The transcript is spliced from 4 exons. Lineage: Eukaryota; Metazoa; Arthropoda; Insecta; Lepidoptera; Pieridae.